CCUGGCACGAUAUCAUGCCACGUCGCAAGCUUCCUAGAAACCGUUGGAUCGUAGCUCGGUGUAUCCUACGGCUAGAUCCUGAUCCAGGUUUACUAAGGCUUCGGAACUCUUCCAGACUAAUCCAGCAUUCGCUCAAACAGCCAAACAUCCGAGAUCCAAAUAUCACUAUCCAUUUCCACAUGAAUGCACCGGCGGCAACGAAGAAGAACAUCAAUCGAUCCAGUGAAGCAGCACACCAACGAAGAGGAAGAAGAGAAAUGAAAUCAACAGGUGAGAGUAUUAGGCAAAAAUAAUAAUUAUUACUACCUACUACAUACAAUAAUACAUAUACAUAUAUACGUGCAAAUAUAUACAUAUAUAUACGUCAAUACGUGUAGAACAUACACAGAAUUGUAGCGCAUUCACUUAUCGCAUCAACGUUGGAGCAAAGAUUCCUUGCAAAUUCCAUAUCAACAAUAGCAAUCCUUCUGAGUGAUGA
Molecule: long non-coding RNA, 478 nt
Organism: Panicum virgatum (switchgrass)
Lineage: Eukaryota; Viridiplantae; Streptophyta; Magnoliopsida; Poales; Poaceae
Exons: 2
Source: RefSeq, a predicted model, not a curated record